RNAcentral lists this ribosomal RNA (252 nucleotides) under uncultured bacterium. RNAcentral describes it as "partial 16S ribosomal RNA". It matches the Rfam family "Bacterial small subunit ribosomal RNA", at positions 524 to 776 of the family's 1533-position model. The record is from RNAcentral.
UACAUAGGGGGCAAGCGUUAUCCGGAAUUAUUGGGCGUAAAGGGUGCGUAGGCGGUCUAUUAAGUCUGAGGUGUAAGUGCAGGGCUCAACCCUGUGAUGCUUUAGAAACUGGUAGACUUGAGUGAGAUAGAGGCAAGUGGAAUUCCAUGUGUAGCGGUAAAAUGCGUAAAUAUAUGGAGGAACACCAGUGGCGAAGGCGGCUUGCUGGGUCUAUACUGACGCUGAGGCACGAAAGCGUGGGGAGCAAACAGG